GGGAGCUGUUCGGGAACUGUUCGGGAGCUGUUCGGGAGCUGUUCGGGAACCGUUCGGGAACUGUUCAGUUGUUCAAGCAUCUUUUCUUGCUGCUCAAAUAAGACCUGAGAUUUGAAUUGUCAAUGAGCUCCAACAUCAGAAGACAGAGGAACAGAAGAAGCCUCUAAUUUGGAUGUGUGAGGUAUCGGAUGAUUUGACACAGGGAUAUCAAGGAUCUCUGAUCCCGUUCUUCAUAACGCUUCAUAAAGACUUCUUAAGGCUUCAUAAAGACUUCUUUAAGGCUUCAUAAAGACUUCUUUAAGGCUUCGUAAAGACUACUUUAAGGCUUCAUAAAGACUUCUUUAAGGCUUCAUAAAGACUUCUUAAGGCUUCAUAAAGACUUCUUUAAGGCUUCAUAAAGACUUCUUAAGGCUUCAUAAAGACUUCUUUAAGGCUUCAUAAAGA
This 444-nucleotide long non-coding RNA is filed under the name Salmo salar (Atlantic salmon). Its description in RNAcentral is "lncRNA (ENSSSAG00000115210.1)". The record is from RNAcentral. Lineage: Eukaryota; Metazoa; Chordata; Actinopteri; Salmoniformes; Salmonidae.